UACAGAGGGUGCAAGCGUUGUUCGGAAUUACUGGGCGUAAAGGGCGCGUAGGCGGUUUCGUAAGUCCCGUGUGAAAGCCCCCGGCUCAACUGGGGAAUUGCACGGGAAACUGCGAGGCUUGAGUUCGGGAGAGGGAAGCGGAAUUCCGGGUGUAGCGGUGAAAUGCGUAGAUAUCCGGAGGAACACCGGUGGCGAAGGCGGCUUCCUGGACCGACACUGACGCUGAGGCGCGAAAGCUAGGGGAGCAAACGGG
RNAcentral lists this ribosomal RNA (253 nucleotides) under uncultured bacterium. RNAcentral describes it as "partial 16S ribosomal RNA". It matches the Rfam family "Bacterial small subunit ribosomal RNA", at positions 524 to 776 of the family's 1533-position model. The record is from RNAcentral.